This 914-nucleotide ribosomal RNA is filed under the name uncultured archaeon. Its description in RNAcentral is "bacterial SSU rRNA". It matches the Rfam family "Archaeal small subunit ribosomal RNA", at positions 1 to 922 of the family's 1478-position model. The record is from RNAcentral.
UUCCGGUUGAUCCUGCCGGACCUGACUGCUAUCGGAUUGAUACUAAGCCAUGCGAGUCUUUGCAGUAAUGCAAGGCAUACGGCUCAGUAACACGUAGUCAACUUACCCUAUGGACGAGGAUAAUCUCGGGAAACUGAGCAUAAUACUCGAUAGAUCAUAAUGCCUGGAAUGGUUUAUGGUUGAAAUGAUUCGUCGCCAUAGGAUGGGACUGCGGCCUAUCAGCUUGUUGGUGAGGUAAUGGCCCACCAAGGCGAUUACAGGUACGGGCUCUGAGAGGAGAAGCCCGGAGAUGGGUACUGAGACAAGGACCCAGGCCCUAUGGGGCGCAGCAGGCGAGAAAACUUUGCAAUGUGCGAAAGCACGACAAGGUUAAUCCGAGUGAUUUCUGCUAAAGAAAUCUUUUGCAAGUCAUAAAACCACUAGUGAAUAAGGGGUGGGCAAGUUCUGGUGUCAGCCGCCGCGGUAAAACCAGCACCUCAAGUGGUCAGGAGGAUUAUUGGGCCUAAAGCAUCCGUAGCCGGCUCUGUAAGUUUUCGGUUAAAUCCAUGUGCUCAACGCAUGGGCUGCCGAAAAUACUGCAUAGCUAGGGAGUGGGAGAGGUAGACGGUACUCGGUAGGAAGGGGUAAAAUCCUUUGAUCUAUCGAUGACCACCUGUGGCGAAGGCGGUCUACCAGAACACGUUCGACGGUGAGGGAUGAAAGCUGGGGGAGCAAACCGGAUUAGAUACCCGGGUAGUCCCAGCUGUAAACGAUGCAGACUCGAUGAUGCAUUGGCAUAUAGCCAGUGCAGUGUCGCAGGGAAGCCGUUAAGUCUGCCGCCUGGGAAGUACGUACGCAAGUAUGAAACUUAAAGGAAUUGGCGGGGGAGCACCACAAGGGGUGAAGCCUGCGGUUCAAUUGGAAUCAACGCCGGA